This is a long non-coding RNA of Cyprinus carpio carpio, 2514 nucleotides long. The record is from Ensembl. Lineage: Eukaryota; Metazoa; Chordata; Actinopteri; Cypriniformes; Cyprinidae.
GCAUAAUCAAAUACAUUAAAAAACUGAAACAGCAGGGAGGACUGUUAGUAACUAUCAGCACCAACAUACCUAAAUAAUCACUAUAAAGUUAUAUGCUAUGGUUUUUAAGUGUCCUUUUCAAAUUUACUGUAAAUGUUAGAAACCAUUAAAUAAAGAAAUCAUCUUAGAUGUUGAUUAAAAAUUACACAUUUUCAAAUGUGCUUUAUGUUAUGCCAUUAAAGAGUGCAAUUAUUAGCCUGUUGCCUUUUUUUGAUAUAUUUCUGUUGGAGAUUAAAAAAAUACACAGUAACAUGCAAACCUCAUAAAUGUAAAAAAUGAAGUGAGAUUUCAACAUUUUAUUAAGAACCAGCUUUCACAAACCAUACAUUAAGGUACAAACACACGCACGCAUGCACGCACACACACACACACACACACACACACACACACACACACACACACACACAAACGAGUUAAAAAAAAGUUCCAGAAAUGUUGAAUCACCUAUAUGAAAACAACAGUCUCUCUAAUUUAAAAAGUCCUACAAUAAAAAACAAACAAAAACAAAUACAAAGCAGUACCAGUGAAUUUCAACACUGAUCAUAAUAGAUGUUGGUCAGAAAAGAGUCUCCUCAGAAAGACACUAUAUAAUAGCUUCUGUAAUUUAAGACUGUCUGCACAUUAUAAAGUGCACUUGAAUUACUAGUCAUCUCAUACUUUGUGAGGACUGCAAACUGGUCUCCUCUGGGAUGGGUCGGUUCUGUUGUGUGUUAUUCUGCCGUUUGUUGUGUUGCAGCUGAAUUGUCCCCAGCUAGCCUAGAAGACCCAGAUGGUCCAGUGCAGUUCUGGAUGCUAUCUCUGAGUUCGGACAGCUGGUCAUCAGCCAGGUGCGCCAGGCCUCCACACUGACCCUCCACGCGAGCAACACGACCCCCGAAUUCAGUCACCUCCUUCUGGACACCCAGUGCAGUGGAACGACAACCCUGGAGCUCUCCAGCCACUCUGCUCCUCAGAUCCUGGAGUUCCCCUUUCAAACGGGUCAACUUUCGCUCCCCAGUACCCAACAUAGAUGCCUGUCGUCCCACCAGCUGAACCACACCCUUCACCUGCUGUGCAAGCCUUUCUUCUCUUUCUUGCCAGGUGAGGUUGGUUUGGCCAGUCUCCUGAUCACAGAGCCAAGAGACUCUUGCAAGCCACAGAGAGACCUGUUAACGGAGUUCACACUAAUUUUCAGCAGGGUUACCUCACCCUGAAGACCUACCCCGUCCUGUUUCUCUGCGAACUGGACAAGAAGAUUAUGUAGAGUGGCACUGAGGUUGUUCAGUCUCUCUACUUGUAAAUCAAGUUUCCCAGUCAUUUCCUUGUGGCUGUCCUCACUUCCCCUCCUCCUCAGUUCCCAAAGGAGCUACAUAUCCUGUAAGAACAGGCUGUGGAACACAAGAUGAAGUACACAUGACCUCUAUGGAUUUGAGCUGUUUCUGUAAACGGUCCAAAUCAUCCUCCACUCUUCUUCUGAGCGAUUCUACGUCUGUCUCCAGUGUGGGCACAUCCUGACCCUCUAGCAAAGUUGGUGCUGUGACAUUACCUAGCUCCUCCACUGCAGCCAAAAGACGCCUUUCAAGAGCCUUAAGCUUCUCCUCCAAAUGCGCCUCCAGGUUGCUAGGCACUCUUUUGUUAAUGCUUGCUUCCUCUUGAUUUAAUGCAAUGCUCAUCUUAGAUUCCACAUAGCCCAGCCGACCUUCCAACAUGCCCUCAAUAUGGUCCUUGUGUCCACCAAGUUCGACACGUAGAUGUAUUUGGGACUCAUUCAAGCCACCCACUGACUGCUCCACAUGAAUUAGCCUUUCAGUUAGACCUGAUACGGCCAUGCAGCAACCCUCUUCAGGCUCCAGGUCUUGAAGCUGAGCCUGCAGUUUGUGGAGUUCUGUCGUCAAUCCUAUGGCCCUUAUGUCUAGGACUUGCUCAAUUUGCUCUGUCCAUCCAAAAGUUCCUCCUUGCACUGGAGCCGCACUCUGCCAUAUGACCCUCGCAUUGCUCCUCAGCACUCUUCACACGCUUUUCAAAGCCAUCUAAGAUGGCCACCCGAGCUUCACUCAUUUUUGGACUCCACCAUUGUCUCCAGGGCCUUUUGAAAAUCAGUUUGUGUAAGGUUCACUGAACCAUUUGACAGUCUUUGAAGGGUGUUGUUGUGACCUGCGACUACUCCUCUCAACUCAUCAAGCUCAGAUACCUUUGCCAUGAGAUCUGCUUGUAGCUCUGAAACCUUUUUCAGCCAAAUCAACCAAGUUUGAGAACUGCCCCACCAAAUCUGAACCGUUAAUAUCCAGUGCACCUCCAGGUAGAUCUCCGAAACCCACAGAAGAGUCCCUGGACUGGGAACGAGCAGGGAGAGGGCUGGGUCCUGCAGAAAUGAGAGCAGUCAACAUUCGAUUUGCGUCUUCAUAGAGGGAAGCACGCAAGCUGUCCUCCAGGCCUGUCACUGUACCACGGAGAUUGUCAAGACCAAGAAAGAGUCGCUGACAUCCUCUUCUAUCC